RNAcentral lists this transfer RNA (33 nucleotides) under Antigone antigone antigone (Indian Sarus crane). RNAcentral's name for it is "Grus antigone antigone (Indian Sarus crane) tRNA-Thr". The record is from RNAcentral. Lineage: Eukaryota; Metazoa; Chordata; Aves; Gruiformes; Gruidae.
ACUCUAAUAGUUACAAAAAAACAUUGGUCUUGU